Molecule: long non-coding RNA, 782 nt
Organism: Branchiostoma belcheri (Belcher's lancelet)
Lineage: Eukaryota; Metazoa; Chordata; Leptocardii; Amphioxiformes; Branchiostomatidae
Exons: 3
Source: RefSeq, a predicted model, not a curated record
GAGAGAGGAGAUUGAGAUUGUACAGAAAACAGGCGUUUAAGUCGCUAAUUCUGCGCGAUAAUGGCACCAACGGAGUCUACCAUGAUCGAAAAUCAAUUUUGGAGAGGCUGGGGAAUCGAGGGGAGAUGUGAUGUCGGUUCAAACGCUCGCAAAUUUCGAAUAGUGACGUUAGCAACUUUCGUCGCCCCCCUCCCCCUUGUCCGGCUGGCAUCGCAGCAAAACAACAAAGCAGCAUGAACAGCCUUUGCCUCCGGAUGUACUGUACGGUAGAUGCAGCAGAGGUUGUAAGGAGGACAGUCUAGAUGAAAGGCACGCAACUGCGUCUGAGUCUUCGAGUACCUGACUGCUGCUACAGGCUCCUUAGGAAAUGACUCCGAAGAAGUACUCCAAACCAACACCAAGACAUCCAACAUGCAAACACAGAACAGACAGCCUUACCCUGGGUGCAUGGCAGCAGUGGAGUUAGAUGUGGAUAGGAUUGUUUAUACAUGAGCAGUUCUACAACAUAUUUCCCAAAAGUUAACAUUGUGGUGUGCCAUGUGCCUCAUGUGGUCAGUACUGAUAGAGACCAUAGGUUACUGUAUUUUGCCUUAUUUUGACAAACAUGUAGAUUUGUUUUUGUGUCUGAUGGUUGUCAGACGAUUAGACACAAGCUAUUAAGGUCUUAUUACUAUAUUAGCCAUACCAGAAUGUGUACUGUAAAAUGUAUUCCAGUUCCAAUCUCCAGUGAUUUAAUAUGAUGACAAUGAUACAUUUUACAUUGUGUCGCAAAAAGUCACUGA